AUUUGGUCACUCAUUGUGUUACCACGGAAUGACAUGCGCCCUAACAAGAUGUUAGGAGUUGGUCUCAUAACAAUCUACUUAAUGUUUCUAGCAUUCAGAUUAAGCACAUCUAUAGGUGAUGAUAUGUCAAUGGAAGGAAUAUCUUGACUUUUAUAUUGUUACAAGCAAAGGCAUUUGAUAUUCUUUAAUCAAUGAAUUCGUAAAUUUUGAUCCUGCC
Molecule: unclassified non-coding RNA, 217 nt
Filed under: Hevea brasiliensis (rubber tree)
Lineage: Eukaryota; Viridiplantae; Streptophyta; Magnoliopsida; Malpighiales; Euphorbiaceae
Source: RNAcentral